ACACGCAGGCGGCGAGCGUUGUUCGGAAUCAUUGGGCGUAAAGGGCGUGCAGGCGGUCCUGCGAGACCCGCGUGGAAGACCCCGGCCCAACCGGGGGGAUGCGCUGCAAACUGCUGGGCUUGAGUACUGAAGGGGAUGCCGGCAUCCCAGGGGGAGGGGAGAAACCUGUAGCUAUCUGGAAGAACACCAAUGGCGAAGGCAGGCAUCUGGCCAUGUACUGACGCUGAGACGCGAAGGUACGGGGAGCAAACAGGUUUAGAUACCCUGGUAGUCCGCACAGUAAACGAUGUGCACCAGGUGGCGGGGGGUCGACCCUCGGUACCGUAGCUAACGCAUUAAGUGCACCGCCUGGGGAGUAUGCUCGCAAGGGUGAAACUCAAAGGAAUUGACGGGG
This 394-nucleotide ribosomal RNA is filed under the name uncultured bacterium. RNAcentral's name for it is "partial 16S ribosomal RNA". It matches the Rfam family "Bacterial small subunit ribosomal RNA", at positions 523 to 918 of the family's 1533-position model. The record is from RNAcentral.